GGCGGUGCAAAUGGUUAAUACAUUUGGCUGUUAACCAAAAGAUUGGUGGUUCCAGUCCACCCAGAGUCA
This 69-nucleotide transfer RNA is filed under the name Loxodonta africana (African savanna elephant). It matches the Rfam family "tRNA". Rfam says of the family: Transfer RNA (tRNA) molecules are approximately 80 nucleotides in length. Their secondary structure includes four short double-helical elements and three loops (D, anti-codon, and T loops). Lineage: Eukaryota; Metazoa; Chordata; Mammalia; Proboscidea; Elephantidae. The record is from Rfam by way of RNAcentral.